AUACUCGUCUUCCUUAAAUCUAGACCGUUCAUCGCGUUUGAUAUUGAUCGUCCGAUUACAUUUAAAUAAAAAAUGAAUUUGGAUCGUUUAUCACGAUUUGAUAUGGACCGUACGAUCGUAUUUAAAAAGGGAAUAAAUCUAGAUCGUUCAUUGUGUUUAAUCACGACCGUCCGAUCGCGCCUGAUGAGGAAACGGAUCCGGACAGUCUACGCGCCCAGGAACACAUCCGGGUCGUCCGAUUGCGGGCACGCAGAUUGCCAGCGUGGCCUCCCGCGUGGCAUCGAGUCAGCGUGCCUUGCCACACGGCAGACUCCGGUUCGUCGGGGUUGUUGAUUGGGCAGUUCUACGUGAUACAUUUUUCUUUAAUUGUGUUUUGACUUCUAAUUUUUUAUUUUUUUUCAAAAAUACAUCUCGAACCCAAAUUUUCAAAUCUUUUUCUCAAAAUUAUUUU
RNAcentral lists this long non-coding RNA (451 nucleotides) under Carica papaya (papaya). RNAcentral describes it as "long non-coding RNA (CPAP_LNC009177)". Lineage: Eukaryota; Viridiplantae; Streptophyta; Magnoliopsida; Brassicales; Caricaceae. The record is from RNAcentral.